RNAcentral lists this ribosomal RNA (29 nucleotides) under Waitea circinata. RNAcentral describes it as "partial 18S ribosomal RNA". The record is from RNAcentral. Lineage: Eukaryota; Fungi; Basidiomycota; Agaricomycetes; Corticiales; Corticiaceae.
UUGAGGUGAACCUGCGGAAGGAUCAUUAA